This 497-nucleotide ribosomal RNA is filed under the name uncultured bacterium. Its description in RNAcentral is "partial 16S ribosomal RNA". It matches the Rfam family "Bacterial small subunit ribosomal RNA", at positions 36 to 507 of the family's 1533-position model. The record is from RNAcentral.
UCUUCCCUCUUUCUUCGUGCCUAAUACAUGCAAGUCGAGCGAACAGACGAGGAGCUUGCUCCUCUGACGUUAGCGGCGGACGGGUGAGUAACACGUGGAUAACCUACCUAUAAGACUGGGAUAACUUCGGGAAACCGGAGCUAAUACCGGAUAAUAUAUUGAACCGCAUGGUUCAAUAGUGAAAGACGGUUUUGCUGUCACUUAUAGAUGGAUCCGCGCCGCAUUAGCUAGUUGGUAAGGUAACGGCUUACCAAGGCAACGAUGCGUAGCCGACCUGAGAGGGUGAUCGGCCACACUGGAACUGAGACACGGUCCAGACUCCUACGGGAGGCAGCAGUAGGGAAUCUUCCGCAAUGGGCGAAAGCUUGACGGAGCAACGCCGCGUGAGUGAUGAAGGUCUUCGGAUCGUAAAACUCUGUUAUUAGGGAAGAACAAAUGUGUAAGUAACUAUGCACGUCUUGACGGUACCUAAUCAGAAAGCCACGGCUAACUACGUG